This 116-nucleotide ribosomal RNA is filed under the name Mnesarete metallica. RNAcentral's name for it is "partial large subunit ribosomal RNA". Lineage: Eukaryota; Metazoa; Arthropoda; Insecta; Odonata; Calopterygidae. The record is from RNAcentral.
UAAGAAUUAAUUUACUUAAAAAUAGUAAGGUCUUUUUAGAGAAUUUUCUUUAUCUUUAGUAUUUUAUUGAAAAAGUUAUUGUUGUAAUAGUUUAUUAGUACUGUAAAGUAAUGUUG